This 1013-nucleotide long non-coding RNA is filed under the name Brassica napus (rape). RNAcentral describes it as "long non-coding RNA (BNAP_LNC014764)". Lineage: Eukaryota; Viridiplantae; Streptophyta; Magnoliopsida; Brassicales; Brassicaceae. The record is from RNAcentral.
GAAUAUUGUGUAUAUCUAUAUAUCAUGCCUCUAUAAUCUCUAUCCUGAGAAGUUCUUAAGAGGGUCAUCUCCUAACAACAAGAGUAGAGAGAGAGAGUAAAGUAGAUCCGCUUUUGGCUCCGGCGGAUGGUCGGCGCGUGAGCGCGCGUGCCGUCGCCGGAGACCGUCGUCCUUCCGUUUAAGUUGUCCCUUUGGCUUCUCCAUCGUCUCUUCUCUUAGAUCGUUUUGUCUGAGCCCUGGUCCAGGCCAUUUUUCGCCGAUCAUCUCCGGGAGAUACCGAUCUCAACGGUGGCUCUGUUUCUGGUGUUAAGGCGCGGUCGUGUGGAGAGGAUGGUGUGGUGAAGUCGUCUGGUAGUUUCAGUUUCGUCUCCGGGAGACAGAGGCUCAUUAAGCUCUGUCGCCGCCGGCUCUUGCUUCCGGGAGGAGGAGGCUUCCUCAGCUCCUCUUUCGCCGGCUUUGUUUCCGGGGUGCCAAGGCUUUUAUAGCUCGGCGUCGCCGGCUCUUGGUGUUUUAUGACCGUCGUAGUCUAGGGUUUGUGGUCCGAUUUUGGGUCGGGUUUGGUUCUGAGGUUAUGUGAUUCAUGGCUUUGAUCUUUUGGAGGAGCUCUUGAAUAGAUCGAGAAGGCGAUCCAUGUGAAGAUAAAGCGGGGAUUAAAAGAGGUGAAUCGGGUGGUUUCUUGCAUGUCGCUCUAGAGCUGAAGCGCUUGAAGCGCUGGCCUUGUCGGAUGAGCUCUCGAAGAGCGAUGAUGCUCUCCGACGGGUAGAUAGAGUUGAAAGAACAGUGAUGAUUUCGGCGGAGGCUUGUCAGGUUCUGAGCUCCGACGGAAGGAAGGGGUGGUGAUGCGGUUCCGGUUAGUUUGGUCUCCGUAUGACCGGGUGUUUGGUUGGGCCGUCGGCCCGUUUAAGGAGUCUUGUAGUAUUCUGGCUUGUGGGCUAUCGGCCUUCUUUUAUGUAUUUGGGCCUUUCGGCUUUUCUUUGGGUUUGACCCGUCUUUUAAUAAAAAUCAUCCAGUGG